CACUCCUACGGGAGGCAGCAGUGGGGAAUAUUGGACAAUGGGCGCAAGCCUGAUCCAGCCAUGCCGCGUGAGUGAUGAAGGCCCUAGGGUUGUAAAGCUCUUUCACCGGUGAAGAUAAUGACGGUAACCGGAGAAGAAGCCCCGGCUAACUUCGUGCCAGCAGCCGCGGUAAUACGAAGGGGGCUAGCGUUGUUCGGAUUUACUGGGCGUAAAGCGCACGUAGGCGGACUAUUAAGUCAGGGGUGAAAUCCCGGGGCUCAACCCCGGAACUGCCUUUGAUACUGGUAGUCUUGAGUUCGAGAGAGGUGAGUGGAAUUCCGAGUGUAGAGGUGAAAUUCGUAGAUAUUCGGAGGAACACCAGUGGCGAAGGCGGCUCACUGGCUCGAUACUGACGCUGAGGUGCGAAAGCGUGGGGAGCAAACAGGAUUAGAAACCCAAGUAGUCC
Molecule: ribosomal RNA, 445 nt
Filed under: uncultured organism
Description: partial 16S ribosomal RNA
Rfam family: Bacterial small subunit ribosomal RNA
Source: RNAcentral